CAGCCGCCGGGGAAUACGUAGGUGGCAAGCGUUGUCCGGAAUUAUUGGGCGUAAAGCGCGCGCAGGCGGAUCAGUCAGUCUGUCUUAAAAGUUCGGGGCUUAACCCCGUGAUGGGAUGGAAACUGCUGAUCUAGAGUAUCGGAGAGGAAAGUGGAAUUCCUAGUGUAGCGGUGAAAUGCGUAGAUAUUAGGAAGAACACCAGUGGCGAAGGCGACUUUCUGGACGAAAGCUGACGCUGAGGCGCGAAAGCCAGGGGAGCGAACGGGAUUAGAUACCCCCGUAGUCCCUGUCUCUUAUACAC
Molecule: ribosomal RNA, 301 nt
Filed under: uncultured bacterium
Lineage: Bacteria
Description: partial 16S ribosomal RNA
Rfam family: Bacterial small subunit ribosomal RNA
Source: RNAcentral